Molecule: long non-coding RNA, 1932 nt
Organism: Gasterosteus aculeatus (three-spined stickleback)
Lineage: Eukaryota; Metazoa; Chordata; Actinopteri; Perciformes; Gasterosteidae
Source: Ensembl
AUGGAGCCGCAUGCCUUCGGUCCGGAGACCCCCGCGGUGAACAGAGGCCGGGAAGUACCCGGAUGCUCGGUGGACUCGUACCGCCAGGUAACAGCAGGUGCUCGGGGGCUCCAGACCACCUCCCAGCAGCCUCUCUGUCUCCGUCCCGGGCUCCACGCUCGCCCUCUGGGGGGGGGGGGGGUCCAUGCGCGCUCUCCCCCCCCCCCCCCCUUGCCACUCGGCUCCCCCCCCCCCCCCUCGCCCCCCCCUCGGAUCUGCUGCUUUGUCCUCAACUUGCGGAAUACAAACAUCUCGAGAAGGACCUCAGCAGCACCUCGCGCGCUCUUCUUGAGUCCUGAUGGAGAGCAUCUCCACGCUUCAGGAACCAGGGAGGGAGCAUCUUCAGACCUCUUUUCUGGAGCAGGAUUCACAUGGCAAUCAGGUCAGGACACGUCGAGGAGAGGACAGAGCUGUCCUCGUGCAGGGGACGCGCUGCCGGGCGGCUUUGGGGGUGCUUUUGGAAGGGUGGUGUUUUUGUGGUUCCUGUGUGUGAUUAUCUUUAGAGUAGAACACGAUGCUGGAGGAGAGCGGCGCUGAGUGUCUUCAGGAGGCAGCGUUGCUGUCUGUAAAUACCCCCCCCUCCCCUCCUCACCCCCCCGAACACAGCUCUGCCACCUGAUUGUGACAACGGCGUCUCCCAUCCUCCUGCUCCGACAGCCUGAUUGAGGUCACGUGCCCCCCCACACACCGUGGUACUACAGAGCAGACUGUUUGAUCCGCUCCGGUCCUGAAUCCGGUCCUGAAUCCGGUCUUUGUUUGUCUGGGGACCCCCCCCCCCCCACAGGGUCUUAUUGCUUCUGGAUACCUAUUGUAGAUAUAUCGAUCUAUGAUGCGAUUUAAGGUUCUUAAGUCAAUUUUACCGGUUUAUCAUUUGAUGCAACAAUGUCAAACCUCUGAAAGUGGAAGAUUAGCUCUGUUGUGUCUGAUGAGUGAAGGCGAGCGGCGAGUUGAUAAUGAACAGUAACAGGUUGCAGCCUCCUGUGUGUUGGUGCAAAUCCGCACCACUUCUCCUUCGGUGGUCACUUGAAGGACGUUUUCUGAACCAACCAGGCAUUCAUCCUGAAGAACUGCCCCCCCACACAUGCUCAAUGCCCCCCCGCUCCCGGUCUCAGACGGGGGGUGGAAGCAUGCGCUCAUAUGUCCGUGUGCGCAUGCGUGCAUGUCUGAGCCAUCUGAUUCCUCUCCUUUGUGUGCGUGCGGAGCGGACGUGGAGGCAUGCGCCUUUUCUCUCCGCGCCGAGAAUCAAAAAGGGGCGCACAAGGAGGAGUGAGGGCUCCCACAGUUGAUUUGGCCAUUGUGUAUGUGGAGGGGGGGCAGGGGGGGGGGGGGGGGCACUAUUCCCAUUGAGGCUCUGGACGCAUGGCUGAGACCCCUAGAAGCUUUAGGCAGGCCGGCUCAUUCAGGGCUGGAUGUGACCCGGAGGGCCGGGGAGGGACGACGUGCCAUUGAGCCCUUUGUGGGGGACGGUGGGAACAUUGUCCCCGCUCUGCUGCUUCAACACCACGGUGCCCCCCCCCCCACCCCCCCCCCACCGCACACCCUCCCGGCUCAGAGAGCUCAAGGUUACAGGUCUCACCCGCUCCUCAGAGACAUUCACCACCGAGGGGGUUCUGAUUCUGGACUAAAUGUCACUGUUAGGUGGAGAUGAGGGUUCCUGACCAUCAUUUAUUGUCAGUGUACAACACACAUAAGGACCAGGUGCCGUUCUGCUGUAGUCCACCUGCAUCCCAACCAAGACCAGACCACUACAGAGAACCACAAAGGACCCUCCAGGAUUCUACCUGUUCAAUUAGCAUCAUAAGAAACCAAUUAUCUGCUCAGAUAACAUCAACAAGAGGGAAACCUGAACGGUGAACGAGCCCCAGGCAUCCAGAGUCCCCCUCCCUCUGGUCC